This 222-nucleotide ribosomal RNA is filed under the name Escherichia coli. Its description in RNAcentral is "partial 23S ribosomal RNA". It matches the Rfam family "Bacterial large subunit ribosomal RNA", at positions 612 to 836 of the family's 2925-position model. The record is from RNAcentral. Lineage: Bacteria; Pseudomonadati; Pseudomonadota; Gammaproteobacteria; Enterobacterales; Enterobacteriaceae.
AUAAUGGGUCAGCGACUUAUAUUCUGUAGCAAGGUUAACCGAAUAGGGGAGCCGAAGGGAAACCGAGUCUUAACUGGGCGUUAAGUUGCAGGGUAUAGACCCGAAACCCGGUGAUCUAGCCAUGGGCAGGUUGAAGGUUGGGUAACACUAACUGGAGGACCGAACCGACUAAUGUUGAAAAAUUAGCGGAUGACUUGUGGCUGGGGGUGAAAGGCCAAUCAA